CUCUUUCCAAAAAAAGUUGGAUUGAUUAGUUGGUAUCAUUUUUAUCUUAUAUUUUGAAAAUUUAAAAUAUAUAUUUAUUUUUUAAAAAAUAUUUUAAGUAUAUUAUUAUUUUUUAAAAAGAUAAUGAUGGUGAUGGAUAUGAUGAUAGCAAAAAUAGAGAUAGUGAAGAUAAUAAUAAUGUCAGUAAUAAAAUUAAUAAUUAAUAAUACAAUAAUAAUCGAAGUGCUAUUAACAAUGGAGUUGGC
Molecule: long non-coding RNA, 245 nt
Filed under: Elaeis guineensis (African oil palm)
Lineage: Eukaryota; Viridiplantae; Streptophyta; Magnoliopsida; Arecales; Arecaceae
Description: long non-coding RNA (EGUI_LNC016318)
Source: RNAcentral